UCUUCAUGCAAACGAUGUGAUCCAUCGAGACGUGAAGAGUGACAACAUCCUUCUCAGAACGGAUGGUUCUGUCAAACUGGCUGAUUUUGGCCUCGCUACUCAGCUCAGCCCUGAGCAGAGCAGACGGUGCUCGGUAACCGGGACUCCUUGGUGGAUGGCGCCUGAAGUGGUGACAGGUCAACCAUAUGGCCCCAAAGUGGACAUAUGGUCUUUUGGAAUUGUGGGAAUUGAAAUGAUAGAACAAGAACCUCCUUACUUGGGCGAAAGUUCUGGCACGGCUACAUACCUGAUAGCCACAGUAGGGACUCCACAGCUGCGGCAGCCCAAGCUCCUCUCGGCUUUGCUGCGUGACUUCCUGAGCUGCUGCCUGCAGAGAGACGAG
Molecule: long non-coding RNA, 382 nt
Organism: Melospiza melodia melodia
Lineage: Eukaryota; Metazoa; Chordata; Aves; Passeriformes; Passerellidae
Exons: 3
Source: RefSeq, a predicted model, not a curated record